AGGAAUAUUGGUCAAUGGGCGUAAGCCUGAACCAGCCAAGUAGCGUGAGGGAAGACUGCCCUAUGGGUUGUAAACCUCUUUUGUGCGGGGAUAAAGUGUGGGACGUGUCCCAUAUUGCAGGUACCGCACGAAUAAGGACCGGCUAAUUCCGUGCCAGCAGCCGCGGUAAUACGGAAGGUCCGGGCGUUAUCCGGAUUUAUUGGGUUUAAAGGGAGCGCAGGCCGUCCUUUAAGCGUGCUGUGAAAUGCCGCGGCUCAACCGUGGCACUGCAGCGCGAACUGGAGGACUUGAGUACGCACGAGGUAGGCGGAAUUCGUGGUGUAGCGGUGAAAUGCUUAGAUAUCACGAAGAACUCCGAUUGCGAAGGCAGCUUACCGGAGCGCAACUGACGCUGAGGCUCGAAAGCGCGGGUAUCGAACAGGAUUAGAUACCCUGGUAGUCCGCGCGGUAAACGAUGGAUGCCCGCCGUUGGGAUUUAGAUUUCAGCGGCCAAGCGAAAGCGUUAAGCAUCCCACCUGGGGAGUACGCCGGCAACGGUGAAACUCAAAGGAAUUGACGGGGGCCCGCACAAGCGGAGGAACAUGUGGUUUAAUUCGAUGAUACGCGAGGAACCUUACCCGGGCUUGAAUUGCAGGAGAACGAUCCAGAGAUGGUGAGGCCCUUCGGGGCUCCUGUGAAGGUGCUGCAUGGUUGUCGUCAGCUCGUGCCGUGAGGUGUCGGCUCAAGUGCCAUAACGAGCGCAACCCCUGUCCAUAGUUGCCAUCAGGUCGUGCUGGGCACUCUGUGGAGACUGCCGCCGUAAGGUGUGAGGAAGGUGGGGAGGACGUCAAAUCAGCACGGCCCUUACGUCCGGGGCUACACACGUGUUACAAUGGGGCAUACAGCGAGUUGGAUGUGCGCAAGUACGUCCGGAUCAAUAAAGUGCCUCUCAGUUCGGACUGGGGUCUGCAACCCGACCCCAGGAAGCUGGAUUCGCUAGUAAUCGCGCAUCAGCCAUGGCGCGGUGAAUACGUUCCCG
Molecule: ribosomal RNA, 1018 nt
Filed under: uncultured bacterium
Lineage: Bacteria
Description: bacterial SSU rRNA
Rfam family: Bacterial small subunit ribosomal RNA
Source: RNAcentral